AGACGUGAGGACAUUCUAGUUAUGACAUCUGUCACCCCAUUGAUCACCAGGGUAGAUCUAGCUGAUGACAUGGGUGUUCCCUUCUUCCCGCACAGCUCCUUAUGCAUUCCUCCCAAAGCUGCAUGCUGUCAAAGAGGACAGCUUUCCCCAUGGAAUGGGUCCUCAUUCAUGAGUCAAGGGUAUAUGAGUAGCUACAUUCCCCUGCUAGAUUCCCAAACUCACUCUCAAGAAGUAGGAACUGGAAAUGAUUUAAAGAUGAUCUUGUCUAAAACUUAAAGAUGAAGAAAAGUAAAUAUAUUCAACAAUUU
Molecule: small nuclear RNA, 308 nt
Filed under: Spermophilus dauricus (Daurian ground squirrel)
Lineage: Eukaryota; Metazoa; Chordata; Mammalia; Rodentia; Sciuridae
Description: 7SK RNA (ENSSDAG00000023811.1)
Rfam family: 7SK RNA
About the family: 7SK was discovered as an abundant small nuclear RNA in the mid-70s but a possible function has only recently been suggested. Two independent studies have found that 7SK RNA binds the CDK9/cyclin T complex (known as elongation factor P-TEFb). P-TEFb activates transcription by phosphorylating the C-terminal domain of RNA polymerase II.
Source: Rfam by way of RNAcentral